GGCGGGGCAGGGCGCGGCAAGGGCCUGCCGGUCGGCGGCCGGGAGGCGCGCGAAAGGGAGAGGCGCGAAGGAGAGGCGCGAAAGAAAAGGCAGGUGGGGGAGGGUCACAAUAUCUUUGGAUCGCAGUCAUGGAGGUGACCAUCGGAGAGCAGCUUUAAAGAAAAGAAAUCUUGCAUUUGAUAUUAUGAUGGAAACAUCAGGUAGAAGAAGAAAAAGAGUUAAUCCUCAACAUGAUGCAGAACACUAUAUUAAACUGAAAACUGACAAGACUGGUCUAACAGAGCAAUUCAUCAGCCCAUGCAAAGGUCGUGGUGUAAUUACCUCACAGUUUUUCAAACAGGGGGAAUUUGUUCUUGAAUACCGUGGAGAACUUUGCAAAGCAGAUCCUUAUCUUGAAAAAAACAAGUUCAAUGAUACGGUGGAAGUGUUCUUAUUUGAUUUCAAAUGGAAAGGAACCUCUUGGUGCAUUGAUGCUUCUGUUGAAGACAAGUCAUUAGGAAGGCUUGUGAAUGAUGACCACCGAAGGCCUAACUGUAAGAUG
Oreochromis niloticus (Nile tilapia) is the source of this 541-nucleotide long non-coding RNA. RefSeq lists it as uncharacterized. The record is from RefSeq and is a predicted model, not a curated record. The transcript has 4 exons. NCBI's taxonomy places the organism in Eukaryota, Metazoa, Chordata, Actinopteri, Cichliformes, Cichlidae.